AGAGUUUGAUCCUGGCUCAGAACGAACGCUGGCGGCGUGGAUUAGGCAUGCAAGUCGAACGAGAAUCUGGUUCUUCAAGUUUUCGGACAAGAAGGAUCGGAGGACAGUGGCGGAAGGGUGAGUACAACAUGGGUAAUCUAUCUUCAAGUUGGGUAUAACUCCUCGAAAGGGGAGAUAAUCCCGAAUGUGGUGAUCCGGCGCAUGCCGGAGAAUCUAAAGGCGGGGACCGCAAGGCCUGUCGCUUGAAGCUGAGCCCGUGCACUAUCAGCUAGUUGGUGAGGUAAUGGCUCACCAAGGCUAUGACGGUUAGCUGGUCUGAGAGGAUGGUCAGCCACACUGGGACUGAGAUACUGCCCAGACUCCUACGGGAGGCUGCAGUCGAGAAUCAUUCGCAAUGGGCGAAAGCCUGACGGUGCGACGUCGCGUGGAGGAUGAAGGUCUUCGGAUUGUAAACUCCUGUCAUGAGGGAUAAAUGGCCAGGGCACGAAUAGUGCCUUGGAAUGAUAGUACCUCAGGAGGAAGAGACGGCUAACUCUGUGCCAGCAGCCGCGGUAAUA
This 557-nucleotide ribosomal RNA is filed under the name uncultured bacterium. RNAcentral's name for it is "bacterial SSU rRNA". It matches the Rfam family "Bacterial small subunit ribosomal RNA", at positions 8 to 525 of the family's 1533-position model. The record is from RNAcentral.